CCUACGGGUGGCAGCAGUGAGGAAUAUUGGUCAAUGGACGGAAGUCUGAACCAGCCAUGCCGCGUGCAGGAAGACGGCCCUAUGAGUUGUAAACUGCUUUUGUACAAGGGUAAACUUGAACACGUGUAUUGAGCUGAAAGUACCGUAUGAAUAAGGAUCGGCUAACUCCGUGCCAGCAGCCGCGGUAAUACGGAGGAUCCAAGCGUUAUCCGGAUUUAUUGGGUUUAAAGGGUGCGUAGGCGGAUUGAUAAGUUCGGGGUGAAAUGGCGGAGCUUAACUCGGGAACUGCCUCUAAUACGGUUGAUCUAGAGAGUGGAUGCGGUAGGCGGAAUGUGUGGUGUAGCGGUGAAAUGCUUAGAG
RNAcentral lists this ribosomal RNA (360 nucleotides) under uncultured bacterium. RNAcentral's name for it is "partial 16S ribosomal RNA". It matches the Rfam family "Bacterial small subunit ribosomal RNA", at positions 338 to 695 of the family's 1533-position model. The record is from RNAcentral.